Ribosomal RNA from Cavia porcellus (domestic guinea pig), 124 nucleotides. Lineage: Eukaryota; Metazoa; Chordata; Mammalia; Rodentia; Caviidae. The record is from Rfam.
GUCUAUGGCCAUACCACCCUGAACAUGCCUGAUCUCGUCUGAUCUUGGAAGCUAAGCAGGGUUGGGCCUGGUUAGUACUUGGAAAGGAGACAGUGUUAAAAUAAUACUAGAAAGACUACAGUGC